This is a long non-coding RNA of Lontra canadensis (Northern American river otter), 447 nucleotides long. RefSeq lists it as uncharacterized. The record is from RefSeq and is a predicted model, not a curated record. The transcript is spliced from 3 exons. Lineage: Eukaryota; Metazoa; Chordata; Mammalia; Carnivora; Mustelidae.
GCAUAGGCUGCCUCUCGUCAAUCAAAUGCAAUCUCCAAAGUAGCACAUUGAAGGGAAUGUGCAAUGAAUACUAAAAAAGGAAAAAUGAACCUGCAAAUAAAUCGCAGCUGGCAGCUUCUUAAAAUCCUAAUCUCUUCAUUUAAUGAAAUACAAGUGAUUUUCAGUUUCAGCAACCAAGACAAAAUAAAUCUUCUACAUGGAAUACCAAAGUAAAACGAGGGCCGAACUUCAUUUAAAUCAGGACAAGAAGAGGUCUAAGGAAUCAGCCAUUGGUUUGAGAGUUGAUGAAGAUACGUCAUCAUUUUUGCUGAGAUGGUUUCCCCCAGUGAGAAAAUUUGAAAUCUGGGGUUUAUACCCAGUGCUGAGACCAGGAAUAUACACAGCUGUAGUGUUGUUAGUAUUGCCUUUGAUGAGACCAUUUCAAUAAGAAGAAAAGAAGAAAGGAGG